UACGAAGGGGGCUAGCGUUGCUCGGAAUUACUGGGCGUAAAGCGCACGUAGGCGGGUUCUUAAGUCGGUGGUGAAAUCCUGGAGCUCAACUCCAGAACCGCCUUCGAAACUGGGAAUCUUGAGUCCGGGAGAGGUGAGUGGAACUGCGAGUGUAGAGGUGAAAUUCGUAGAUAUUCGCAAGAACACCAGUGGCGAAGGCGGCUCACUGGCCCGGUACUGACGCUGAGGUGCGAAAGCGUGGGGAGCAAACAGG
RNAcentral lists this ribosomal RNA (253 nucleotides) under uncultured bacterium. RNAcentral describes it as "partial 16S ribosomal RNA". It matches the Rfam family "Bacterial small subunit ribosomal RNA", at positions 524 to 776 of the family's 1533-position model. The record is from RNAcentral.